RNA transcript from Nicotiana attenuata, 1689 nucleotides. RefSeq lists it as uncharacterized. NCBI's taxonomy places the organism in Eukaryota, Viridiplantae, Streptophyta, Magnoliopsida, Solanales, Solanaceae. The transcript has 9 exons. The record is from RefSeq and is a predicted model, not a curated record.
AUGGAGACGAACAAGCACUCAUGGCAAUUAGAGAAUCCGAUGAGGAAUCGGAGCUGUUGCGUAGCAUACACGCUCUUCGGCACACCAGAAACUGCUAAUUCUGCGCAGUUCAGUUGUGAAGAACAUUCCAGAAUCAGCAACAGAAAUGAAAACUUUUACUUUCUACUGUGGGGGGUUGAAAAUCAUGGGUUGAGUUCGAAACUUGGUGCUUCUGCCACAGUUUGGUUCUCCCUGUACUGCAGUGUUCAUCUUCAAGACUGGUUGGAAAUUGGUUUAACUGAAUUAGCUGCAGUCACUGCAGUGUUUCAACUAUCAGUUACACCAACUGCAAGAAUGUGCACAGUUGGGAAAGGUUUUGAGCUGCAAGUUUACUUAGUUGCAGCAUUUUUGUACAUCUUUGGAGUUGGCAGAAGGAUUUGCUACAGUCUUGGGUUGAAUUUAGAGGGUGUUUCACUGCUGAACUUUGGUCAGCUACUGCUUGGUUUGAAACAACCUGAGGACAAUUUUGUGAGCUUGAAACUUUGGGGAAAUUGGCUUCAGUUGGGUACAAGGAGUCAUAAGGGAGGUAUGGAUGGUUAUGGCACUUCUUCUUAUGAAACUAAUUGUGCGUCUCCAAGUGUUGAAAUCUUUUAUGAUGAAAGUGGGAGAAAGAUAAAUUUGAGGCAUUAUCUAGCGAAUGUAGAAGGCUAUGAAGAUAUCCUUUUGAGACACUUAUUUCUUGUUUGCUCUUUUUUUGGUGUACAUCUGGAUUAUCGUUGCUUCUUUCUCUUUGUUUCUUCAACAACCUUCCUUUGUGUUUUCGUCUUUUCCAUAUCAGCUUUGUAUCUGAAGCUUUUUAUGGACGAUUCUGGAACUAUUUGGAAAGCUAUCAAAGAAUCACCAGCACUUGUGGCAUUAAUGGCCUAUUGUUUUGUUGCACUGUGGUUUGUUGGAGGUCUAACUGGCUUCCAUUUGUAUCUCAUAGGUACAAAUCAGACCACAUAUGAGAACUUUCGUUAUAGGGGAGAUAACAGGAACAAUGUGUAUAACCGGGGAUGCAUUAGCAAUUUUCUUGAAGUAUUGCUCAAGGAUAGAACCUCCAAAAAUCAAUUUUCGUGGAUAUGUACAGGAAGAGGCAUCAAAGCCUCCUAAGAGUAACGUUCAAGAAACAGAAAUAGAUAUCCCUGAUGGGGUACGCAAAUUAAGGUGGAAGACGAUCUUGAUAUUGGAGAAGAUAUUAUGAAGAUAUCUCAACGACGUAAUUCUGAGGAAGUUGGUGAUGUUAGAGGUACAGGAAGUGACAGGUCACCCAUUGGUCGUUCUGAGGUUGACUUUGGAUUUGGUCUAGAGUCUCGUGCUUUUUUUGUAUAUAGGCCUUCGUAUAGGAUAGGAUCAUUUUACCUCCAGACCCUCUUACUAGCCGGGACAAAACAAGUGGAAAAAAAAAAACUAAAAUUCAAUAUCACCAAUGUUUUCAACGACUCCUACUUCCUUCUGCUGGCAUUAUUUGGAGCAAUCAGAAGGAUGUUCAACUGAUCAUUUAUUGAGAUUUAAAAAUGUAACACGAUACUUAUUGUUAGCCAUGAACAUGCACUGGCGUGCUCUUUCUCAGGCUUCUCUGGCUCUUCUUGUUCUCGUAAGGUAUGAUAUGACAUCUUUGUUGGAGGGAGUGGAUGGUGGCUUUUACAAUCAUUUGCUGGUUAUAAGCAA